AUUGAACGCUGGCGGCAGGCCUAACACAUGCAAGUCGAACGGUAACAGGGAUCAGCUUGCUGAUUCGCUGACGAGUGGCGGACGGGUGAGUAAUGUCUGGGAAACUGCCUGAUGUAGGGGGAUAACUACUGGAAACGGUAGCUAAUACCGCAUAACGUCGCAAGACCAAAGAGGGGGACCUUCGGGCCUCUUGCCAUCGGAUGUGCCCAGAUGGGAUUAGCUAGUAGGUGGGGUAACGGCUCACCUAGGCGACGAUCCCUAGCUGGUCUGAGAGGAUGACCAGCCACACUGGAACUGAGACACGGUCCAGACCCCUACGGGAGGCAGCAGUGGGGAAUAUUGCACAAUGGGCGCAAGCCUGAUGCAGCCAUGCCGCGUGUAUGAAGAAGGCCUUCGGGUUGUAAAGUACUUUCAGCGGGGAGGAAGGGAGUAAAGUUAAUACCUUUGCUCAUUGACGUUACCCGCAGAAGAAGCACCGGCUAACUCCGUG
Molecule: ribosomal RNA, 490 nt
Filed under: uncultured bacterium
Lineage: Bacteria
Description: partial 16S ribosomal RNA
Rfam family: Bacterial small subunit ribosomal RNA
Source: RNAcentral